GCGUUGCAGCGAGACUGAGCCAGAGUCUCCUGCCUAACCCCUUGGCCUGCAGCAGCGUGGCAGGAUCUGUUAGCAGCAGUCCUGGCAGCGGCGGCAGGCCAACGCGCCCGAGGCCGCGGACGCCGGCGUCGCCGGACGCCGCCCGCCCGCUCGCUCGGCAGCGCGGCUCACGCGGCUCGGCGCGAGCCUCGUGCAGGCGCGCUUAUACGCUAAAAUGUUUUACAAUAACUCCUUAUGGGUCUUCUGCAGAAACCUCUGGCCUGCAGCUGUGUGGCAGGAUCUGUCUGGGUAGCAGUCCUGACAAUGGCGGCAGGCCAGCUCCCGAGGGCCGGCGUCGCGACCGCUCGCUCGCAUGGCGCCCGCUAAAUGGUUCUGGACGUGCCCCAUGCUGGCGCGGUAAAAUUAAAUUCUUUACUAGUUUUGAAAAAGAUGAUUCAUACUUAUGAAGAAGACAUUCAAUGUAGAAACUCUAGCUGUAACACAUGCUUAAAUUAGAAUAAGUCACUUGCGAUUAUCAGUCGGUUUGCAUGCUUAAUAAAUCAAGGCAUUAAAUCUGGCUAGUUUGUCGGUUUUCGUUAUAUUAUGUACAAGAUAAUCUAUGAAGACAUGCAUUAGAUAUAGUUCCGGUGAUGGGUUAGCAUU
This is a long non-coding RNA of Trichoplusia ni (cabbage looper), 642 nucleotides long. RefSeq lists it as uncharacterized. NCBI's taxonomy places the organism in Eukaryota, Metazoa, Arthropoda, Insecta, Lepidoptera, Noctuidae. The record is from RefSeq and is a predicted model, not a curated record. The transcript has 5 exons.